CUGAUGAUGAAGAGAGAGGCAGUGGCAGAGGGGGGGCACCUUUUAUUUCUAUUUUUAAAGGGACAGGACACUAAUUCUACCCCACUUCAACCUUGAAUUCAGGGGGGUGGGGGGAAGGCGGCUGAGUUCCUUCCCCCACCUUCCAGCCCUGAGCCCUGAGAGGGGGAUUGAGCCUGAGAGAGGAGAAGGAGUUUCUUCUUCUUCGAAAACCCCCAUCCACGACUCCUACCCCCUCACCCCUCCAACUCGCCUCCCUCCCGAGCCCCCUCCACCCUCCUCCUCUUUGGCCGUGAGAGGAGGAGAGAAAGAAACCAAAAGCCUCUUAGCAACACAGACCCUUUGCUGCUGCUGUUGCUGCUGCUGCUGCUGUUGCUGCUGCUGCUACUGCUGCUGCUGCUACUGCUGCUGCUGCUACUGCUGCUGCUUGGCCCUGGCUGGAGACAUCUCACUACACCCAGGAGCAGCCACUUCCCCAGCUCUCCUCCUCCUCCUUCGCCUCCUCCUCCUCCACUCCCCCCCUUUAUUACCCUUUGUGUCAUCCUCCACAGCUCCAGGGAAGGCACUCAAAAGUGGGGGGCAGGAAAGAUGUACAUUGAAGAUGUCAGUUUCUACAUGUGGGAAGUAGACAUUGAAGGCUUUAUGGUUUACAGACAAGAUCUUUAGAAGUUAAGCACUAAAGAGAGAAGAGGUACUCCCUUAUAGGGACUCGUAAAGACGUAGAGCAUCUGGAAAUUAACUGCCUCCAUUACACUGCUGAGUCACACACAACGCUUGUUAUGUUUUCAUCACUUCUCUCCAGAAGGUUUCAGAAUCUCCUCUUCAACUACCUACAAUGAAG
Molecule: long non-coding RNA, 838 nt
Filed under: Pan troglodytes (chimpanzee)
Lineage: Eukaryota; Metazoa; Chordata; Mammalia; Primates; Hominidae
Description: long non-coding RNA NONPTRT010788
Source: RNAcentral